GAUGAACGCUGGCGGUAUGCUUAACACAUGCAAGUCGAACGGUACCUUCGGGUAUAGUGGCGGACGGGUGAGUAACGCGUGAGAAUCUGUCUUCAGGUCGGGGACAACAGUUAGAAAUGACUGCUAAUACCGGAUGUGCCGAAAGGUAAAAGAUUUAUUGCCUGAAGUUGAGCUCGCGUCAGAUUAGCUAGUAGGUGGUGUAAGAGACUACCUAGGCGACGAUCUGUAGCUGGUCUGAGAGGACGAUCAGCCACACUGGAACUGAGACACGGUCCAGACUCCUACGGGAGGCAGCAGUGGGGAAUUUUUCCGCAAUGGGCGAAAGCCUGACGGAGCAAUACCGCGUGAGGGACGAAGGCUUUUUGGGGUCGUAAACCUCUUUUAUUAGGGAAGAUUUCAGGACGGUACCUAAUGAAUAAGCAUCGGCUAACUCUGUGCCAGCAGCCGCGGUAAU
RNAcentral lists this ribosomal RNA (454 nucleotides) under uncultured cyanobacterium. RNAcentral's name for it is "bacterial SSU rRNA". It matches the Rfam family "Bacterial small subunit ribosomal RNA", at positions 28 to 524 of the family's 1533-position model. The record is from RNAcentral. Lineage: Bacteria; Bacillati; Cyanobacteriota.